GCAAGUUAGUUAAGUACGUGAGACAAACGUUCGUUGGCCACGUUUUCGUUUCGACCGUUGAAGAGCAAGCUGCUAAAUCUGGCGUCUCUUGUUGAAGUGGUUUUUAAAAGGAUUUAAAGCUUUGUUUGUUCUAUUUCAACCACUAGUUGAUACUAUUAUAAAUCAUUUACUUUUAGACAACCAAAGACAAUUUUUUUUUCUUGGCAAUGUUUCUUGAAAUCACGACAAUGAAAGGAAACUACCAGAAGGACAUCAAGACCGCGCCUGUUCACAAGAAAAAGUGGUCAAAACCGAAGAGGAGGACAUUUCUGCGCUCAAAUAUGGGCGAAAGGAGAAGAAGGGUCCGCGUCUGGUCGUCGUCGAGACCGCAGCGGAGUCCGGACCGUGUCGACAGGACAGCUACGGGGAAUCAACGUCACCUAACAGUAGCCAUGGCACCAAGAAACACGACGCAAUAUUUAAUGGACCUGGUGUAUGCUGAGAGAUUAGACGUUUCAAUGGAGGCAUGUGACGUAAGCCACGAUUUCUCAAUGCAGAGUAAUGUCCCAUUUGAUGAGAGGGUUUUCUCAAUGUCAGACUCUGAUUACGACAGAUCUUUGGACUUUCAGCAGCGAGACUUCGAGAGCGUGUUCUUCAGGAAUGAAAUCUGACGUGUUUUCCAAAACCUGACUCGAUUUCGUCGGAACGAGGCGACCGGGCUGCUGUGUAACCAUAGACAGUAACAUCAUUGCGCAGACUCCAACUCGGGGAGGCGGAACGCUCUGCGUCACAGCUGCGCGAUGACGUGUACGCCCCGCCCUCAGCACGGCCACCAUCACGUGGCCAGCAGAGACUUUUACAGGUUGCUGAUCCUCCUCGGCGGAUCUCAGCUGUCUGUGCAACCCACCCAGAGCCUUGGGACAAAGCCGCAUGGCUGCCUGCUCAUCACUGCUGGGGAACUGUACAUGCUGUGUGGUAAAUGCUUGAAUGUAAAUCUACACAAGUGCACUCAGAGCUACAUCUCAUGUGUGAUGAUAUAGUUUGUGAGAACUUUUGUCAAUAUUUAUUGUAUUAACUAUUAAAAUUUUGUUAAUUCUUAAAACUUAAAUCUGACUUACAUUUUCUUUUUUUUUAUUAAACACUGUGCACACUACAUUCCCAUUACGUGAUUAUGUAACAGUAUCAACUUAAUACUUGCAAAUACACUAUAGCCUACAUAAGCUUUGAUUUUCAUGGAAGAUUAAGUUUUAUAAUGUAAGCACAAGAAGGCUUCACACCUUAUGACCUCCUUCCAGUGUUCAUGAACCUAGAACUGGUUUUCAGCCAGGGUACUGCAAGAUGACUAAUAAUAAAAUUACAGGGAUAUAGAAUAUGUUGUCUCUUAUUUCUCACAUUCUGUCAGCUGUUGUUUCUGUGUACUGUGUUUCUGGAGUUACAAUUAGUAUGCAAGUUUAAAAUGAGAAGAUUUAUAGAAGUACCAGAAUUAUUAUUUGCCGUCUGUGGGGUGUUCGGAUGUUACCUUGCGCAGUUGGGGCCCAUGGAGCUUGAGGACUGCGGCUGAAGAAUACUGGGGUGGGGGGGAAAGGUAAUAUUUUUAUUUUUUAUUAUUAUUAUUUUGUAAAUGAACAGCUUUACAAAUCAAAUACCAUGCAAGGUUUAGCAUAAAAAUUAAUGUAUCUGCAAUUACGACUAUGAUUCACUUCCAUUGUAAGUGCUUCACUAUAGCUUUAAUUUGAAGAAAAUCAGUCGUGAUGGAAAACCGAGGCGUUUAUCAAAUUGUCGAAAAACGGUUCAUUAUUCGAAGGUUUUAACACGAUGCGCAUUAGCGAUAUCUUGUGGUUAGUCUUUAACUUUGCGCACUAGACACUUUUCACACGCUGUUGUGUGUACAUAAUCCCACAAAAGACUCAAAUGUGUUUACAUGCUCGUGCACUACAAAUCAUCUUGCACUGUUACCCAGCCAGCUGCUUGACUUACAAUGUUUCUCUUUGCACGUGC
Molecule: long non-coding RNA, 1977 nt
Organism: Cyprinus carpio carpio
Lineage: Eukaryota; Metazoa; Chordata; Actinopteri; Cypriniformes; Cyprinidae
Source: Ensembl